UGGGGAAUUUUGGACAAUGGGCGAAAGCCUGAUCCAGCCAUGCCGCGUGAGUGAAGAAGGCCUUCGGGUUGUAAAGCUCUUUUAGUCGGAAAGAAAGAGUUGCAAUGAAUAAUUGUGAUUUAUGACGGUACCGACAGAAAAAGCACCGGCUAACUACGUGCCAGCAGCCGCGGUAAUACGUAGGGUGCGAGCGUUAAUCGGAAUUACCGGGCGUAAAGGGUGCGCAGGCGGUCUUGCAAGUCAGAUGUGAAAGCCCCGGGCUUAACCUGGGAAUUGCGUUUGAAACUACAAGACUAGAGUGCAGCAGAGGGGAGUGGAAUUCCAUGUGUAGCAGUGAAAUGCGUAGAGAUGUGGAAGAACACCGAUGGCGAAGGCAGCUCCCUGGGUUGACACUGACGCUCAUGCACGAAAGCGUGGGGAGCAAACA
This 427-nucleotide ribosomal RNA is filed under the name uncultured beta proteobacterium. Its description in RNAcentral is "bacterial SSU rRNA". It matches the Rfam family "Bacterial small subunit ribosomal RNA", at positions 355 to 774 of the family's 1533-position model. Lineage: Bacteria; Pseudomonadati; Pseudomonadota; Betaproteobacteria. The record is from RNAcentral.